This 23-nucleotide non-coding RNA is filed under the name Bombyx mori (domestic silkworm). Lineage: Eukaryota; Metazoa; Arthropoda; Insecta; Lepidoptera; Bombycidae. RNAcentral also lists the same sequence under 5 other names. The record is from RNAcentral.
GCCCGGAUAGCUCAGUCGGUAGA